Molecule: transfer RNA, 69 nt
Filed under: Psilorhynchus homaloptera (torrent stone carp)
Lineage: Eukaryota; Metazoa; Chordata; Actinopteri; Cypriniformes; Psilorhynchidae
Description: tRNA-His
Rfam family: tRNA
About the family: Transfer RNA (tRNA) molecules are approximately 80 nucleotides in length. Their secondary structure includes four short double-helical elements and three loops (D, anti-codon, and T loops). Further hydrogen bonds mediate the characteristic L-shaped molecular structure. tRNAs have two regions of fundamental functional importance: the anti-codon, which is responsible for specific mRNA codon recognition, and the 3' end, to which the tRNAs corresponding amino acid is attached (by aminoacyl-tRNA synthetases). tRNAs cope with the degeneracy of the genetic code in two manners: having more than one tRNA (with a specific anti-codon) for a particular amino acid; and 'wobble' base-pairing, i.e. permitting non-standard base-pairing at the 3rd anti-codon position.
Source: RNAcentral
GUAAGUAUAGUUUAACCAAAAUAUUAGAUUGUGAUUCUAGAAACAGGAGUUAAAACCCCCUUACUCACC